Molecule: ribosomal RNA, 465 nt
Filed under: uncultured Klebsiella sp.
Lineage: Bacteria; Pseudomonadati; Pseudomonadota; Gammaproteobacteria; Enterobacterales; Enterobacteriaceae
Description: bacterial SSU rRNA
Rfam family: Bacterial small subunit ribosomal RNA
Source: RNAcentral
CCUACGGGUGGCUGCAGUGGGGAAUAUCGCACAAUGGGCGCAAGCCUGAUGCAGCCAUGCCGCGUGUGUGAAGAAGGCCUUCGGGUUGUAAAGCACUUUCAGCGGGGAGGAAGGCGUUAAGGUUAAUAACCUUGUCGAUUGACGUUACCCGCAGAAGAAGCACCGGCUAACUCCGUGCCAGCAGCCGCGGUAAUACGGAGGGUGCAAGCGUUAAUCGGAAUUACUGGGCGUAAAGCGCACGCAGGCGGUCUGUCAAGUCGGAUGUGAAAUCCCCGGGCUCAACCUGGGAACUGCAUUCGAAACUGGCAGGCUAGAGUCUUGUAGAGGGGGGUAGAAUUCCAGGUGUAGCGGUGAAAUGCGUAGAGAUCUGGAGGAAUACCGGUGGCGAAGGCGGCCCCCUGGACAAAGACUGACGCUCAGGUGCGAAAGCGUGGGGAGCAAACAGGAUUAGAUACCCUAGUAGUC